Molecule: long non-coding RNA, 8051 nt
Organism: Nematostella vectensis (starlet sea anemone)
Lineage: Eukaryota; Metazoa; Cnidaria; Anthozoa; Actiniaria; Edwardsiidae
Exons: 2
Source: RefSeq, a predicted model, not a curated record
AGACCUGGAGAUGGAAAAGAGAAAAAGGUCUAUAGUCACAUCAAUAAGUAUUCGAUAACUUGUUGGCAUUUAACCAUCUACAGCAUCUUUUUCUUCAACACCUCUGCCUCCUUCGCGUUCUCUAAUUCCUCCGCCUCAUCUGCUGAUCCCCCACUUCUCUUUUUUCCAUCCUCGUCACCUCCCACUGACACCUUACUUUUCUCUCGUUCGUAUCAACCCCCCUCCCCCCUUACUUUCCAUAUCUUUACCUGUUUUCUCAAAUGAGAUUUCCUGCCUUGUUCAAAUUUCCUCCUUUUUGCGCUUUUUUGUUCUAAUUUUUAACUUCACCAAUUAAAUGAGCCAAUCCUAGGCUAGCGUGACCAAAAGAAAGCGGCAUGAAAGCGAGGGCCUAAUCCAUUUGUGCUCACCUGAAAUGCUGACAAGCGAUCCCAGAAUUCCACGGAUAAGGAGCUUGACGUCAACUUUUCGUGCCUUGGUAAAAUAGCUGCAGUUUUGGUAAUCAGUGUAUUAGCAUAAAUAAGGUCAAAAUUUUGUUGAAAAAUAAUCGGUUCAAUAAUGGACUAUAGCGGCGUAGCGAGCCCAAAAUUGUAGUAACAUGAUAAAUAAUAGCGUAGUCGCAGUCGACCCCUAAGCGUAUUUAAGGUCUUGAACGUUAAAGCACAAUCAUGUGCUUCAUGCUCAAAUUACACUGUCCUAGGCCCAGCUUUUUUAUCUUUGGCAGGGAAAAGUCUGCUGUAGGGAUCAUAAGAGAAGCUCGCGAAAAGACCGCUGGGUAUUUAGUGAUUUUUGACGAAGCACACCGUGCAAGCAGUGAAACGUGCUUAGCCGUGCUUAGGAAGCUGAGUAAUUACACCUAUAUAAACAGCAGGCAUUACCUGAGCAGUAUGGCCGUGGUUCCUCCCCCUACUGAUGCAUUUAUGGUCAUUACGGCCGCCCUGUAGGUAGAACAUUGUAAUUAGCUUAGUUCGAUGUAAUAAACUCGAAUUGAUAAUACAGACCCAUUGUCAAAAGAAAAAGUGUUUUUCGAUAUAAAGAAUGUGAGUAUUGAAUUUUCACAGUUAAAUACCCAUCAUGCAACACGUUACUGUAAAAACCACUCUCCCCCGUUUUGGUAUUAGAUUAUCCCUGUUUUUACGCGUUAUCCCCAUAGAGAUAGACAUGAAGGGGAUGUUUUCGAUUUUUUAUUCCUCAUAUUUUAGGGGUUAAAAGCUUAGUCCGUUUUUAGCUGAUAUGAUUUUUUCAAGCCGGAAAAAAACAAAUACUUAAACAAAAUGCUUUCCCCUUUUACGCAGCCAUCUCCAGACGUAGAGACGCGCAACUAUCUUUGUAUUCAGCUCUUUCGUUAUUUGAUGUCAGCACCAGUAAGCGAAACCACGUGUAAACGUAACACGUGUUUACGUGUGUUUGCAGUCUGAUUUAUAUCGACUUAAUGACCCUACAUCUAUUAUUUCACGGAGAUAAUUCACAGAUAAUUUCUUGUCGAUGAGAAGCUGUAUUUUAAUUAAACACACAAGACACAAGAAGCUUAAUAUAGAUAGCACGUGUAUUAUAUAACCACAAAAAAACAUCGUUCGGCGUUUGUGUUACAUUAGUAAUUUGACCGCCCUCGUAUUCUUUCACGUUGACAAUAACAGGAAGAUAGCAUUUACUGGAAAGCAAAAAAUUGAAUCGCCGAGAAACGUGCCCAUAAAACCGCAUCACAAGUGCACAAGUGAACGUUAAUUCUUUGUCGUACACGUGACAGGAGUUUUCAGUUUUUUUUUUCUUUUCCUUAACUCUCACUCUUUUAUCUUUAUCAAAAACAGAAUGAUGAUUCUAGCAUCAAUCGUCAUCAUCAUCAUCAUCCCAUGCAAAGAAGCCAAGAAAUAAGACACAGAAUAAUAACACAGAAUGUAAAUGUUUUCCAAAACAGUUGCAUUGGUAGUUACCCAAUAGAAUAGAAUAGUAAUUGUUUCUAUUACAGUAACACAUCACAAUCCGAAAGUUUUUUUUUUUAUAAUAUACGAUAAGCUUCACCUGAUUUAAGUCAAAAUGUAUGAAUUUGUUAUUCGUCAAUGACAAUGGCUUAAACAAAGAUUUUUUUAACUUCAGUGCGGGGAUUUUAAGAUGCAGUGAUAUUAAGAUGUGAGACAACGCCCUACGUCGACUGGAAAAAAAGCGCCUAGAAUCAGCGGCGUAGCCAGGAUUUUUAACAGGAGGGGGCCCAAAAGGUCCAUUCAAUGCAUUUUCACCUGUGUUUUUGAUAAUGUCUCAUAUAUUUACUGUAUUUUUGACUGCUAGAAGGGGGGGUCCAAGGCCACCCCCCUGGCUAUGCCCCUGAGAAUGGUCGAGAAAAGUUGUGAAGUUAUGAAAGAAAGUUAUAGUUGUGAAAGAAAAAUAUGCAUUUAGUUAACGAGUGAGUGAAAAAAUAUUUUUCUCUUGAAUAUGAGACAGUGUAUAUAACAUGUAUAAAAUAUGGCAUGUUAGAAUUAAAUGCCGACAGCAAUGAAACAUAGAAUGAUCUAAACAGAGUACGAUAGAAAUUGAAGAAAUUUUAAAAAUUAGUUUUGUUUCCUUUAAAAGCGACUAAAAUGCUACAUUCCCUGGUUUUGACACCAACGUUUAAUAGAAUGAAACCGUAGGGGCUUUUCUGUUAGAAAUAGUAUUUUAGGGGUUUGCAGAAAGAGGCGCUACGAACCAAAAAAUUUUGUUUUAGAUUUUUUAGACUUCUUAACAAAACACUUUGACAAUUUGUCAUUCGAGACAACAGGAUACUUAAAUCUAUGUUUUAUGGGUAAUUUUUUGCUUUUGGGCUAUUUUUAGGGCAGCAAUUUCUAGCGUGUAUUGUUUUUUAGGGGCAAUUUUUGUAUUUCCCGACGAGCCUCUCAAUCACUUUUACCCUAAAGAUCACCCCUCCCCCACUCAGGGAGAUGAGCUGUCGUAAAUUACCCAAAUCGCUACAUCCUACUUAAAUCUAUGUUUUAUGGGUAAUUUUUUGCUUUUGGGCUAUUUUUAGGGCAGCAAUUUCUAGCGUGUAUUGUUUUUUAGGGGCAAUUUUUGUAUUUCCCGACGAGCCUCUCAAUCACUUUUACCCUAAAGAUCACCCCUCCCCCACUCAGGGAGAUGAGCUGUCGUAAAUUACCCAAAUCGCUACAUCCUGCACACUUGGGGAAGUGGAAUAGGACGUAAAGGCGAAUUAGCACGUGACCUAACAAGAGCAUGAUAAAAUCCUUGAGGUAUUGCAUAAUUAACUGGUAGAUAUCUGACCUAUGAUUAGUAGCGACGCGACGUCUAUUUGCUGCUAGGUAUUGUUUAACAUUACACGAUAAAUGCCAAGUCCAAUGCCUUUAGGGAUGACAUGAUAUCAGAUAUAACUUACCAAAGCUAGGCGUACGCCCGUGAUACAUAUAUUAAAGAGAGGAAAAACUAUAAUUAUCUUACAAAAUAUCCGCGAUCUAUAAAAAAACCGUUGAAAAAAAAAGUUUUAAAAUUUACCACACGCAACCUGCAAACUUACGCCCUAAGGAUACAUAAUAAAGAGACGAAUUCUACUGUAGUUAUUUCACAAAGUAUCCGCUACCAAUAAAACAGGUAUUAACGCCGAGGGUAUGCCAUGAAUUCUCCAAAAUCACACAACGUCUAAGUGAAAAUAACGUGAGUAAAUAAGCACGAGUUCUUGGAGCACCUGUCAGGGUAUCCCGUAUUUUUUUUUUUUUUUUUUUUGUUCGAUAAAGAAAAUAAAUAUAUAAUAUUUAUUUUAUAUACUAUAUAUACUAUGUCAUGCAUUUCUGAUUUUGUCAUUACCGAGCACUCUAGACCUGGCCUGGCAGAACAUAUGUUUUUAUAUCUAUUAAAUAUUUUUUUCAAGUAAAACUUUUACAGCCUAUAACACAAGACCCUCAACAACCUCGUUCCAAUGUUUUCUGAGUAAUUUUUCAAAUUGGCGGCUAGACACUGGAAAAGGACCCUUUGAGUGAUAGAACGUGAAUAAAGACACAGAACAUGAAGUUUCGCCAAUCGCAAUUUGUAAAAAAAAAAAUAUUAUAUUGAAAUUACUGACCAAACGUCGAGGGAAACAAUAAUUUGCCAUAUUCAAUUUGCCACGGAUAGCAAUACAAUUUUUUGAAACGUUAUUUUGUUGUCUAUUUCAGCUGGUGUACAUGACCAAAUUAGAUUGUCGAACGUGGCAAUUGUCCUCUUCCGAAAUGCAGCAAUUAUGAGACACGCGUGUAAAUGUAAUUAUGUGUUUAAAGAGGAACUUUCCACUAAUUGUCUUUCUGCUGUUAACUAGGAGCAGUGUGAUCUUAGAAGUAGGGGAAAAACUUGUCUGGGUGUUUGCGAAUGCAGGCAUUGUAUCUUAUUUUUUAAAUAUUUUAAUUUAAUAAUAAUAAUAAUAAUAAUAAUAAUAAUAAUAAUAAUAAUAAUAAUAAUAAUAAUAAUAAUAAUAAUAAUAAUAAUAAUAAUAAUAUAGAUUUAUAUAGCGCCUUUCUCCUAUAGAUCCAAGGCGCUUUACAAUUUUAAUAUUAUGUUAAAAUAAUAAUUAAAAAUUCAUUACAAUAUAUGUCAAAUAGAUAAUAAAAAGACAAAAUAAAAAGUAAAAAAGUAAAAAAAAUUUGUUAUGAUACAUAACUAAGAUCUUGAGAAUCGAUCAUUAAGAAUCAAUUGUCGAAGACGCGUUUAAAAAAGAAGGUCUUGAUCUUUGAUUUAAACAUACUCAAUUCUUUACAAUUCCGGAGUUCUAGUGGGAGGGAGUUCCAUAUAGCUGGUGCACUCACGGAAAAGGCUCUUGAGCCGUAUGUCUUAAGUUUGAAAGAGGGCUGUACUAAAAGAGACUUAUUUGAAGAACGAAGACUGCGCUUUGGUUAAAAGGUCUUUUAUAUAGUCUGGAGCGGUUUCAUUUAGGGAUUUAAAAGUUAAAAGAAGGAGUUUAAAAUCUAUUCUUUCUCUGAUGGGUAGCCAGUGUAACAGGAGUGCAGAACAGGAGUGACGUGAUCGUAUUCGCGGGUUCCUGUAAGAAGUCGCGCCGCAGAAUGUUUUUAAUUUAAUGUUUAUUUUAAAUAAGCACCAAAAAGACAAUGAAAAAAAUAUUUUCCACUUCUCUCUAGCAAAAGCUUUAUUAACAAGCUUUAGUCUACGAAACAAAAGAAUGUAGAAAGGCAGGGGUUCACACAAAUGAUAGUGGCAAAGUAAACAUAUCUAUUCGUUAAAAACAGUACUCUUUGAAUUUACUGUUUCAGUUUACAGAUCGAGCUUUUCCUCCGGCUUUCUCUCACAUAAAAUCUUAAUUAUCACGGGGAUGUAAAUGGUACAAGAGAUAGAACUUUUAUCUUGGAAUUUUUUUAAUUAGGAUUGAACAGUACUAAAGAAAUUACCUAUUUACGUAGUUCGACGAAAACCAUUGGCCAAAAGCAAUGUAUUUUGAUAUGAUUUUCAAUAGGAUUUUAGUACAACUAUUAGAACCGUUUAGUCAAGAGUACUUUGAUUAUUGAAAACUUUGAUAAUGAUCUGUUUAGAAUUCAUAAUUGUGAGGACAGUACUUUUUUUCUGAAAAAAUGGAGGGGUCUCAAAGUGUAAAACAAAACAGUACAAAAUUCUCAAUCACAAAAAAACAGUUACCUCAAAACUAUUUCUUGCAUAUUUGAUUGCUUCAAGAUCAUGUUCCAUACUUUUUUAUAGAUUAUCAAAAGAAAUAAAAAUUGAAAUUUUACAGAAACUUAUUAAAAGCACCAGAAAUAGGGCAGAUGGUUUUUGAUUGUAAGGUAAAAAAUUGGAACGGUUACGGUUAUUAAUCCAGUUUAAUUUCGAUGUUUCUUCUGCGAGCAUAUUGUUACCACAGUGAGGCAUAAAUAUUACAAACUUUGGCUUUUUCUUCGCUUAAAGAGGGACGCGACAAAUUAUUUCAUGUUUUGUUGAAAUAACUUCCUAAAUGUCAUUGUGAAGAUUUUCAAAUUAAUACGUAGAAAGAUGUGAAAUGUAAUUAAGUGUAUGACAUUUUGUAUGACAUUUUGUAUGAUUUAUGAAGGAAGUAACCAUAUAAAUAUUUCUGUGUAUCGAAUUACACGAAUUCUUUAGAAUGAAAUGAAACUCAGCAUGGAGGUUUUCCGUUUACUAUUACUUAGAAUUCUUAAAUAACCUAAAAAAAGGAAUCAAGUUCCGAGAUAAUGAUACUGUUAUUCUUCACAAUCCAAAUAGCAUUAAAUCCCGCUAGGCAAGUUUUGCUAGAAAGGAUAUUUUGAUUUUCUUUUUAUCACACAGUAGAUAACCUAUCUCUCGAACCCCUGUUCUUCUGAUUAAUCGAACUCUCCGCUGUAGAAAAACUCAACUUUCCUUAGGAUGAGCUUUAUACUUAGAAAUGUAUCUAUGAGACUCGAACCUUUAAAUUGAACUCGAACCAUCUAGUUUCUUUUUCUACUGAAAACUGGAAAGGUGACAUAAGAGGCCAUGCCUCUUAUUUUUUGCUUUGACGAAGUGGUAAUACUUGAAACAAAUACUUUGUUUUCACAAAUGCGUACAACAUACCGUAUACAUGCGUAUACAGCCGUUGUGUCGAUUUAUUUCCUUUGUGCCUUAUUUUCCCGAAUCUCGCGACAUUCAACUCUUUAUAAUUAUUUUUGUCUGAUAUUAUCCAAAGUACCUUGAAUUUCCUUUGAUAGUUUGAGUCGGGGUCAACUGAUUCAUUUUAAAUGAACAGCUCUUAAAAUAUAACAGUUGUUAUGAUGACAGCUUUUGCCGUAUUCAUUUUGAAUAAUGUAUAAAUAAACAGAGACAUAAAAUAUGACUUUUGAAAUGAAAAAGAAUGUACAUUAAUUGAUUAUUUCAAAGUUUUACUAUUUUUACUAAAUGUGUUCCGGCUGUGUCAGUGUUGUUUUUUUCGGGAUAAUAUUCUCACUAGCAAAAAUGGUAUAAUCAAAAUUCGUUUCACACCACCAAAUCAUUAAUAAAUUGCCCAAGAAGAAAACCUUGGCCAUUUUGUAUUAAAUGAGCGCUGUGUCUCGCACGUCUCACUUCUUUGUUACUUAAGAUCUAUUAUCAGUACUUCACUUAGAACGCGGAAGUCGCGAAAGAACUCGAACAAGAGCCGCCUUUAAACAAAACAAUAAAUGGAUUUUUUGCAAGUCUUGCCUGUUAAAUAACAGGCGAGUUGAGACUUCCAUGUGUAUUAUUAGACUAGUGGUAAGUAAAUGGAAUUUUUGCAUGUCUUGCCUGUUACAUAACAGGCGAGUUGAGACUUCCAUGUGUAUUAUUAGACUAGAGGUUUUAAACCCUGGGAAAAGAGCGCGUUGCUGUCGGAAUAGUACUUUAUAUAGCCAUAUCAUUAUAGGGUCAGUAUCUAGAACAUAGCAUAUUGUUGGCUGCAUGAAGUCCCAACCUCUGAAAACAGCAAACGUUUGCUGACCCAUGGCAAUGCUGGCGCCGUUUCAAACGAUGUUUGGAGUUGCUGUGAAGUCUUUCAUCGAUAUUUCCAUUAGUACCAUUACCAUGCAGUGAACCGAACAUAGUUUAUAGUUAUAUAUAUAUAUAUAUUAUAUUCCAAGACGAUGCUCGCUGAUGCUUGCGUUGUUUACACGAGGCCCUAUACAUUGAAUGACCAAUCAAAACUCUCUGCCAUGAGACAUGUGAAUAUCCGCCUCAUGUCUUCUACAAGUUGCCUUUAUAUUGCCAUUUUAUUUCACAACAUGGGAGCUACAAUAAUCGUGAUGGCAUAAAAAGGUCGUUAAAGACGUGCCGAUUUGAAUGCACUUUUGACAAAACCUUAAUAAAUGCACGGGGGGCGAGCUUCCAAAGGGUCAUCAUUGUGUCUUUGUGAAGAAUAAUAUAUAUAUUAUUAUAUAUAUUAUUAUGUAUUGUCCAAAGUUUCUUUACACAGGGUUUGUAAUACAUUCGCAGAUUUUUUAAGUGCUUGUGUGACGAAUAUGUGCCAAGUCGUCGGCUUAUGGCGUGGCGCUGGUUGACAGUCCUUUCAUGGCUCAAACCUUUCUGGUUUAAACGACUAGGAAAAACUGGAAAUUGCCCCCAUAAAGUCAUUCGAUAAUAACUUUUUCUUUUUCCUCUCCUAGCUCUCCACCUUUUUU